This 557-nucleotide ribosomal RNA is filed under the name Sungouiella pseudointermedia. RNAcentral describes it as "[Candida] pseudointermedia partial large subunit ribosomal RNA". It matches the Rfam family "Eukaryotic large subunit ribosomal RNA", at positions 24 to 648 of the family's 3401-position model. The record is from RNAcentral. Lineage: Eukaryota; Fungi; Ascomycota; Pichiomycetes; Serinales; Metschnikowiaceae.
CCCGCUGAACUUAAGCAUAUCAAUAAGCGGAGGAAAAGAAACCAACAGGGAUUGCCUCAGUAACGGCGAGUGAAGCGGCAAAAGCUCAAAUUUGAAAUCCUUCGGGAGUUGUAAUUUGUAGGUUGGGAGACCCCGCGGCUAGUGGCACCAAGUCCCUUGGAACAGGGCGCCUUAGAGGGUGAGAGCCCCGUAGGUACCACAACACCGUCUUGUGUCUCCUCUCCAAAGAGUCGAGUUGUUUGGGAAUGCAGCUCAAAGUGGGUGGUAAAUUCCAUCUAAAGCUAAAUACCGGCGAGAGACCGAUAGCGAACAAGUACAGUGAUGGAAAGAUGAAAAGCACUUUGAAAAGAGAGUGAAACAGUACGUGAAAUUGUUGAAAGGGAAGGGCUUGCAAGCAGACACGGCCUUCGUGCCGGGCCAGCAUCGGUUGCUAGGGGUGGAUAAGGAACAAGGAAUGUAGCUCCUCGGAGUAUUAUAGCCUUGCGCGAUACACCCACUGGCGACCGAGGCCUGCGGUAUUCUUUACCUAGGAUGCUGGCGUAAUGGUUGCAAGCCGC